AAUAUGAAAACAUCCUCUCUCCUAAUACUUAUAAAAUGACCUCCAUAUCUUCAUCUUAAAAAUCAUCUGGGGAACAGGGGAUAUGAGAAUUCGGAGAUCUUGGAAUCUUUCAAAAGUCUUGCAAGGAGAGAGAGGGAGAAAGAAGCCACCUAUGAGUGGAUGAUCCACCAAAUCUCAGAAGGGAAGAGGAAAUCUUGUAAUGAAGUAGAGCGGGUUCUAACGUUCUAAACUUUCUUUGUAUUUCUUUUAUGAUAUGUAGCAAUAAAGAUUAUACUUUUGAUUAUUAAAGUAUCAUGAAUUUUUUAUUCACUUUAUUUUAUGCUUGCAUGCUAGAUUAAGAUUAGAACAACCUUUACUUUUUGGAGAUGCAUCAUGAUCUAUGGAUAUGGGACGUGUCAAGAAAAGAAGAGUUGCAUACCUCGUACUUUCCGAAGAUGUACCGUAAUCUAUGGAUACAAGGUGUGCCAAGGAAAGACAGGAAAUAUGAAAAGCAGAAACGUGACAUGAUUAACCCCAAUCCAAGAAUGGCGUAGCUACGAUGACCGGCAAACCAAUUUGCCCACCAUUAGCUCCCAGUAAACAUGCGUAAUCUGAAAGCUUUCAAAGCGUGCAUGACUCUGCUCAGAACCUUUGGACAAAUGGACACUCCUUGCGCAACAGUUACCGACUCGUUGACAACGCGGGACAACCACUCGACAGCCGACUUGAAGCUGUUCAAGGGAUAGGCUGUGCUUAAGAAGCACUCGCCGACUUGCCGACGGCACUCGACAGCCAACCUUGUCACGUUCAUCUGUUGUGCCGUGUUCUUUGCCUCUCCCAAAGUGCAAGUUUCAGCAACCAGAAAAGAUGUGUCGGAAUCCUUCCACAAAGAAAGAAAAGGUGUGCGUGGUCUUUUAAAACGCAAGCCAUGAAGUCAUAAUAUCCAAUAGCGGUUUCUGGCACGUGGAUUUCAUGUUUUGCAUUGAAUUCCUCCCGAGUUUUAUAUUGUAUGAUAGCUCAACAAUGCCGCUCAAAAAGUCACCCAGCGGGUUCGUUGCGAUGCCGUUUCUUUUGAUUGGCCUGCAGUGAAGUCACGGUCCAAAAGCACUUCGCCAGCCCACCUGCCCACCUCAUAUCCACUAACAGCUCGUGGCACGUGGAUAUUAUGCGUUUUAUUUGGUUACCUGGUUUGAAAGUACACACGGUAGAAAUCCUACUCGGCUGGUUUGUUGCAACUGAGUUGUUUGAUCUCGAGAAUUGUGCCGUCAAGACCGCAAAUCGUGUGGUUGACUACGAUACGAAGAAAACUAUGGUCGCCAAAAAAAAAAAAAAAAUAACUGUUGUUUGAUUGAUAUUUUCAACGAAGAGAAAUUGCAAAA
Elaeis guineensis (African oil palm) is the source of this 1358-nucleotide non-coding RNA. The record is from RefSeq and is a predicted model, not a curated record. Lineage: Eukaryota; Viridiplantae; Streptophyta; Magnoliopsida; Arecales; Arecaceae.